AGCAAAAAAUAAAACUAUUAAAAAAAUCUUAAUAAAAACAAGUUUCUUUUUAUUCUAAAAUUACUGUUUUUUACUGGGACUGGGGAUUUUCUUUUUUUUUUUCAAUAGUGAAUGUGUGUUGUGGAGUUCAAAACCAACCACUGGCAAGCGAAGAAAACGUUCUUAAAACAUUCAUUGUUCCCAAAUUGGAGAGACAACUACAAUAACAAGAAAAUAAUACAAAAAUAAACAAGAUCAGCUGGAAUCAAAAGCAACCCAAAGCAACAAUUAUAACAACAACAUUAAUGUUUUUUUUAUAAUUCUCAAAGCAGACUUUAAAUUCCGAAGGGGGAGUCAGUUCAGUCAAUCAAACAAAUUUCAAAAUUUCAUGAAAGGGAGUAUUAAAAUUUUAAAAUAAAGAGCAUAAGAAAAACAAGAGAAUUUGUUAUUUUGUUAUAAAAAUCAUUUGUAGAAAGGAAACAAAGAGUUUUUAUAUUGAAACUUCUACAUUACCACACAUUCACACAAUUAAUUCACAUACACAGGCGCACACAUUAUGGGAGUAUCUGUGUGUGACUGCAACUUUUAAUCUAAAAUGAGUAAAAAUGUAGCCAACAAAUACUUAAUAUGUAAUAAAAAAUAUGAACAAAAAUAUAUAUAAAAUCUAUUUUACUAACCAACCCGUAUAAUCGCAUUAAUAUUUGUUGUAUAGUACCCCACAUUGAUAUUAGGUGGUUGAGGAAAUUUGUAGCCAGAUUAUUAAAAAUUAAUAAGGCCGGUAGAAAAGUUUGUUCAGAAAUAACUUAAGAAAAAUUUGUAAAGCAUUUGAACUAGUAGUUUUUAUAAGUUUUUAACUUUAUACUUCAAAGUAAGAGUAAGUAAGGUAGGUUAGUAGUUAGCGUUCGAGGUUAACAGUGCGGAGGUCUGGGGUUCGAUUCCCACAAAAGGAACUGUAUGUAUAUUCAACUAAACCAUCCACAUCCAUCCCAGCUAUAAGUUAAACUUGCUGCAUUCAUGUAAUGGUUGGUUAAGGCGAUAAGAUACACUCUAUAAUUUUUCCACAACAAUAAGAAAAACAACAAAAUAAGAGGGAGAACAACAAUAUAACAACGACAAUAUGAUUAAUACGACAAACAAAAAGUCACAUAGUCAAACUGUUGCUUAAACUAUUAAUAAGCAGCAACAAAACAAACAACCUGCAAAACUUUACUCUCUCUCUCUCUCUCUCACGCUCUGUCACUCUUUCCACUACAAUUUCAUGCACGUACGUGAGUUUUCUGCUAGUGCGUGAUAUUUUAUUUAUAAAACUGAUGUGAGAAACUAAGAGAAAACACACAUAUUAAGAGAAAACAAUAGAGCAUAGAAAGAGAGUGAUAUUUUGUAGAAAACUAGAGAUACAACUAAGAUAAAACCGCUAAUGUAAAAUGAUUUUAUGAACAAUCAUUUAGUUUUAAAUUUAAUACGAUGGUGAUCGCAUCGGUUGAGUGAUCGAUUGGAAAUUGUGAAAUUAAAACGAAGAAAAAAAAACGAAUUAUUAAAAAAACACAAAAUUUCAAAAUAAAAAGAAUUAUGAGUAAUAAAUUUGUAUAAGUGCCUUGUAUGGGAAAUAGAAAAGUGGAAAAUUUAAUUAAAAUGAAAUAGUAAAAGCAAUAUGAGUUAAAAAUUGUAUUAAAUUAAUCAAUUAAUUGUUUGAAAUAUAAAGAAAGAAAACAAAAGAAAAAAUAUUUAUAAUAUUUAGAAAUGUUUAAACAAAUUUUUGUAUUCACAAGUUUGGGUGAAAGCUUAAAUUGUUUUGAAAUUUAAAACAAGUUAAAAAAAUUAAAACAAAAUUGUGUGUCUUUAUGUCUGAAUGGCUAAAACGCUAAUUACCUAAAAAAAUAUUACAAAAU
Molecule: long non-coding RNA, 1868 nt
Organism: Lucilia cuprina (Australian sheep blowfly)
Lineage: Eukaryota; Metazoa; Arthropoda; Insecta; Diptera; Calliphoridae
Exons: 2
Source: RefSeq, a predicted model, not a curated record